RNAcentral lists this ribosomal RNA (833 nucleotides) under uncultured bacterium. RNAcentral's name for it is "bacterial SSU rRNA". It matches the Rfam family "Bacterial small subunit ribosomal RNA", at positions 8 to 828 of the family's 1533-position model. The record is from RNAcentral.
AGAGUUUGAUCCUGGCUCAGAACGAACGCUGGCGGCGCGUCUUAAGCAUGCAAGUCGGGCGGGAUCCAUGCGCUUGCGCACGGUGAGAGCGGCGGACUGGCGAGUAACACGUGGGCGACGCGCCCUCCGGACGGGAAUAGCCUGUAGAAAUACAGGGUAAUGCCGGAUGCGAACGCGCGCGCUGGAGGCGCGCGUGGAAAGCCCCCACGGGGGCGCCGGAGGAGCGGCCCGCGGCCCAUCAGCUUGUAGGCGGUGCAAGGGACCACCUAGGCUACGACGGGUACCCGGCCUCAGAGGGCGGACGGGCGCAUUGGGACUGAGAUACGGCCCAGACUCCUACGGGAGGCAGCAGCUAAGAAUAUUCCGCAAUGGGGGGAACCCUGACGGAGCGACGCCGCGUGGGCGAGGAAGGCCGGAAGGUUGUAAAGCCCUUUUGCGCGCGAGGAAUAAGGGGAGGAGGGAAUGCCUUCCCGGUGACUGUAGCGCGCGAAUAAGCGCCGGCUAAUUACGUGCCAGCAGCCGCGGCAACACGUAAGGCGCGAGCGUUGUUCGGAAUCAUUGGGCGUAAAGGGCGUGUAGGCGGCCCUGCAAGCCUGGCGUGAAAUCCCGGGGCUCAACCCCGGAACCGCGCUGGGAACUGCUGGGCUGGAGCCGCUGUGGCGCAGCCGGAAUUCCAGGUGUAGGGGUGAAAUCUGUAGAUAUCUGGAAGAACACCGAUGGCGAAGGCAGGCUGCGAGCGGACGGCUGACGCUGAGGCGCGAAGGCGCGGGGAGCGAACAGGAUUAGAUACCCUGGUAGUCCGCGCAGUAAACGAUGCACACUGGGUGUCCGGG